This 820-nucleotide ribosomal RNA is filed under the name Aizobius robustirostris. Its description in RNAcentral is "partial 16S ribosomal RNA". The stretch from base 1 to 586 matches the Rfam family "Bacterial large subunit ribosomal RNA", at positions 1809 to 2925 of the family's 2925-position model. The record is from RNAcentral. Lineage: Eukaryota; Metazoa; Arthropoda; Insecta; Coleoptera; Brentidae.
AAAAACAUGUCCUUUUGAAUUUAAUUUAAGGUCUAACCUGCUCUAUGAAAAUUUAAAUGGCCGCGGUAUUUUGACCGUGCAAAGGUAGCAUAAUCAUUUGUUUUUUAAUUGAAAGCUAGAAUGAAGGGUUGAAUGAGAAAAUUACUGUCUCUGUUAAAAUUAAUUAUAAUUUUAUUUUUAAGUUAAAAAGCUUAAAUAAAUUUUGAAGACGAGAAGACCCUAUAGAGUUUAAUAAUUUUGUUAAGUUAAGAAAUUAAGUAUUAAUUUUAUUAAAUUUAAAAAUUUAUUUAGUUGGGGUGAUUUAAAAAUUAAAUUAACUUUUUAUUAUUUUUACAUUAAUUAAUGAUUAAUUGAUCCUUUUAUUAAGAUUAAAAGAAUAAAUUACCUUAGGGAUAACAGCGUAAUUUUUUUUUAGAGUUCAAAUUAAAAGAAAAGAUUGCGACCUCGAUGUUGGAUUAAAAUUAAUAUUUGGUGUAGCAGCUGGAUGGUUAGGUCUGUUCGACCUUUAAAAUUUUACUUGAUCUGAGUUCAAACCGGUGUAAGCCAGGUUGGUUUCUAUCUCAAAAAAGUUAAAAUAUUUUAGUACGAAAGGAUUGAAUAUUUGGUUAAUAAUUUUUAGUAUAGAAUAAUAUUAAUUAUUUUGGCAGAGUAGUGCAAUAGAUUUAGAAUCUUUUUAUGUAAAUUUUUUACAAAUAAUACUUGAUAUUAAAAGAUUUAGUUAUAUUGUUAAUUUCUAUAUUAAUUUUGGCUUUUUGUGUAAUGAUUGGUGUGGCAUUUUUAACUUUGAUGGAGCGUAAGGUUUUAGGAUAUAUUCAAAUUC